Molecule: long non-coding RNA, 4495 nt
Organism: Daphnia magna
Lineage: Eukaryota; Metazoa; Arthropoda; Branchiopoda; Diplostraca; Daphniidae
Exons: 15
Source: RefSeq, a predicted model, not a curated record
UACGUUAGGGUAUGAUCUGGUAUGGGUAACGCAAAUUUACAGAGCAUGGUAUCCAAUGGUUAGUUGUUUUAGGCCACCCGUUCAGUCGAGAUGUCAAGUAUUUCGGUCCAGAUGGAAAAAAACGUUCAAUUUACUGUUGUAGAUGUUCGUCAUGCGUUCGAAGAGGCGUAGACGAAAAGCCAAGGAGAAAUUGGCAUAACAAUUUUGGCUCAGACUGUUACACCGGCAUUUCUUCACCUUAGCUGCUAAAGACUAUGUUGAGCAGCUGAAGGUCAUCAGCAAAGGGACAUCGUGUCACUCGUUACUUCCGUCGUUUGUCCGAAAACGUCUGGUCAGCUCCGAUGAACUGUGAAAAAUUUGGUGAAAAUUGUUCGCGUCAGCCAUUCUGACGUCGAUCUCGGUAUCGCCUUGGGUCUCGAUGAUUCGUUCAAAUUCAGCUGCGCAGAUUGGGCUCUUCUCGUUGAAGAUGUCGAUGAAACUGUCGUAAUUCUGGAAAUGGAAACCUGUCCGUAUAGCAAGGUCAUUUUAGAAUAAAAUCAGUCGCUCACCUAUGCAGUUACGUGGUCCAGCGCUGAACGGAAUGAAAGCAUACGGAUGCCGGCCAAUGCUGUUUUCUGGGAAAAAUCGUUCCGGCUUAAAUGCUUCGGGAUCCGGAUAAACACAAGGAUUGUGAUGGAUUGCAUAAAAUGACGGAACAACUGUAACCCCGGCUGGUGUUGUACCUAUUUCAACGUCUUCCGUUAGACUUCGCAUGACGAACGGCACGCUCGGAUAGAGUCUCAUCGUUUCUUUGAUGCAACAUUCCAAAUAUUUGAGUUCAGAAAUAUCCUGGGUAGUACAAGGACGAUCCUGAUCGCCACCAAAAACUGAAUCCAACUCGUCAACUAUCAGUUGCUUCGUCAUGAAUCGAAAAUUGAAUGAAACAGUUUGACAAUUUGAAGUUCGUAAUUGAUGCAUUACCUGAUGCUUCGGAUGUUUAGCAAUGAGGUCAGCGCCCUUAUUGGACGCCUGUAUCAGCCAGUCUACUAUGGCAAAUCUGCUCUCUAAAGAAAAUCCAGUUUCGUUUGCUGGCCCAUCGCAGUUUCUGUAUGGUAUUCGAAAUGUUUACGACCUCAGAAGUUAUGACGUCGAUGAAACUGUGCAAAAAAAAUGUAUAACCUGGAGUAACUAAUCGGCGUCGAUUUUUCCAGUGAGCACCUGGAGAAUGAUAAAAUUUCAAACAAAGCCAUUUGGACAGAGAGACCAGUAAUUACCAACAAGGAAGGUGCGCAGUUGGCAGGAAGCUAAUGAACAUACCUGUACCAGCUCCGGGGAUGAAAGGGUCACGAAAGGACGUGUGCACAGCCAUACACGACAUCCAAAUCGAGAAGGUUACCCAAUAGCGGCAACGGCUUCCGUCCAGGUAUGGCGUUGAUGAGUUUGACGGUUCUAGAUCGACUCCAUUUCAAAAAGUUAACGCCAAUAUAAGAGGAUGACGUGUCUUCAAAAUUCAGCCCGUCCAUGGUGAACGGACGAUGUGAACUAAUCUUCGAUCUGUCUACGGCCUUCACUUAUAAGCAGUGUCACAGGUAAGGCAGGAAAAGCAUCUAUCCACUUGAUUGAGCUUCCUGGUGUUGUGUCUAGGUUUAAAAGAAAAACAUUAUAGAUACGCGAAAGUUCUUAUCUGUGUCAAAGGGUCAAGUUUUCCGUUUGACGGGAAUUCGGAGAAAUUUUCGCUAAAACAAAUUCAUUUUCGAAUAAAAACUCGAAUGCAGUAGUCUGCACUAACAGAUCAAUCGAAUUACAGCCUUGAGUUGAGUCAGUUGUACAAAACGUAAUAGAAACAAUUUUCAUAGUUUUCUGGACGGGUUGUGACAAUAAAAAAAAAAAUUCUUAGACGUGAAAAUUGAACGAGGUUAUUGUUAAAUUAAGGUAUAGAAAUUCAUAGUCGAACUUGGGGAUGACAUUAGCAUGCGAGAGAAAGUAGAGACUAUAAGGAUUUCCUUGUUUGGAAUUCAAAAACAUCACGUAGACACCCCAACAUUUACGGUGUUCUUCUCUUGUUGUUUGAAGACUUUUUCAUUACUAAUGUCCGAUAGAUGAACAUCACGACUUGCAAAGUAGGACACGCUUGACGAGCAGGAACGUCCCACUUUGAAAGCCCGUUUCAAACAUCGCAAUGAAAUUAAACAAAAUGUGUAAAAUAAGUUGGAGUUUUGUUUGUCAUUUGAACGUUUGAAUUCACUUUCAAUCGAUGCAAAGAGCACUUUUUGUCCCUGAAUGCGUGAUUGAAGGUCUCGAGUCUCUUUACCCAUUUGAAAACUAGACACGUAUGUGGUACAAGUUCAAGACCGUGACUCGUAAAACCAGUCUGUCCGUUAAGUGUAUAAAGCCGUAGUGUGAUUAAAAGGCUAUUCAUCACUCAAUUAAAGAGUUUGCCAAGUUCUAGCAAAGAUUCUAUUAAAUUUCACUGUAAUUUGGCAAGGCAUUUCCAUCUUUUGAGAGCAAACGAAAGUCGAAAAUUUGAAUUUUCACGAGUAACAAACUAACUUUAUUCAAAAGACGUUUUAACUCUAAUAGUCAGAAUUCAUGAUUGGGCUUACUGUCUGCUUGAAAUGUUGAUUCAUUUACCUGCAAUGUUGUGUGAGACGUAAUCCGGAUAACUGACACCAACAAGGUAUGGUCUUAACUCAGUUAUAUAGCUCGUUACAGGAAAUCGGGCGUGGCGUUUUCAGACAUUCUUGCCAACAGCUACAAGGAAAGUUACAUCAUAGUAACGAAAGUAGCCAUAAAAUAAUGUGGCAUCUAUUUCGUACAUGUCAUCAAAUGAUUUGCCAGUGAAAAGUGAUUGACUUGCUUAUUUAACUAGCCAUAAAUUUUAUAUGGCUGUGUGAUAUCUAAUACACUUGGUCAAGAUAAAUAGCUUACGGUAUAGUGCAUUUGAUUACUGCACGUAUUCUUUUGGUUUGUACCUCUUGAUUAAUUAGUUUACGUAUUGCGCAGUUUCUUUUUUCCCCCAAAAUUUAAGUGAAAUGUCUUUAGCUGUAGUGAAGUGUUAUGCAAAGAAAUUCAUGAUGAGAGAGUAAUGGAUUAUGUUUGUAUGCAAAUUUUUGUUUUCAAAAACAGAAAUUUGUUUUGUUGACUCAUCGCUUGAUUGACAGCAGUUUUCGUACCCAACCCCAAUGCACAAAAGAAAAUCGUCAAAAGUUUGUUUUUUACUAAUCCUUUGUCUUCGUCCUUGGGGUGUUGUAGAGGGAAGGGUAUCUAAAAAACAAAAUGUUUUUUACGAGGGGAAAGGUAAGGGAAAAAAGGUCGAAUAUUCAUCAGACUAUUUAAUGAGGCUCAGAGAUUGCCCACAGGCUUACACAAUUCGUACCCAUCCUCUUACUUUAGGGUAUGAUCAGAGAUGUAUAUGGACAGACCAUGUUUUUCGUCAUUAGUUGUUGGUCAUGCGCUUGGUCGAGAUGUUGUAUGUAAAAUUUCUAAUGCAGGUGGUGGAGGAAGAAAGAUCCAUUCUAAAGGUGUUCUGAAAACCAAUGGCGAUGCAGUGUGUUUAUCCAGAUCCCCGAAGCAUUCAAACCGAAACGAUUCAUUUCAACGAUUCGGCGACAACAGCAGUGGACGGUUACAUUCUGUUGGGCCUACGUGAUUGUACAGGUGAAAAACUGUUUUUCUAGCGCAGAAGUUUGUUAAUUUGUUUAAAAACCAAUUAAGUUAAAGAAUGCUCGAAAUAGUUUUCGACAACCUCGGGUUCGGUUUUCCGUUUUUGUUCCAAUAAUAUCUGAUGUACCAGAUUUAGGAUUCAUUUUGAAGCAGGUGGGCUCGUCUCGUUUUUCUAAAUGGUUAAAUAAGACAUAACAUAUUUCUAACUGAUGUGGAUUUCUUGUCAAGUCACUUUUGUUCAAAUUAGAAAUUCAUGAUUUCGUUUACUAGUAUGGUACAUUUACAUGGUUAGAACAGUGAAAAGAAUGGAUUCGUUAACUUUAAUUCAACAAAGUGCAACGAGGAAUAAAUCAGGUGGGUAAAACUCGUAAGAAUGUGGUAUAUAACUCGUUCAAUUUUGAUCAACGAAGUAACUGAUAAUGGGCGAAUCAGAUUCAGUAUUCGGUGAAGAUCAGGAUCGUACUUGUACUACCCUGGAUGUGUCUGAACCCAAUCGUUUGGCAAUGUUUAAUCAAAGUGAUUGUGGUACUGGGAUAGAGACGGACUACGUUGGCAUAGGUGGAUAUGUAAUACCGGCUGGUGUUUCUGUAUGUUAAGCAACUCGCCUCAAUCCGGAUCCUGAAUCAUUGAAGCUGGAACGGUUUUCCUGGGGAGUGGCAUUGGCCGCCAUCUAUAUGACUUCAUUCCGUUCAGCGCUGGUCCAAGUAAUUGUUUUUAUUCUAGAAAAGAUUGUUGUGUUUUGAAUUGAAGUUCAAAGUAUGCCAUGCUUGAAUUGAAAGUAGUGUUUGCUAACAUUUCACGUCGUGUGUAGUUUUCCGUCUCUGGCCUAACAAUAUAAGACGCAUUUGUGGUA